GAUCACGUCACGCGCAGUCUUUGCUGGUUAGGUUGUCUCGCGUUGAGGGCUUUGCCGACGCAACACGCACCCAAAAAUCCUAAUCCUCAUCGCCGCCGGCGACCAUGGUGUCGCAGCACGGCAUCCUCCUCGCCGCGGGCCUCAUAUCCGACCACUUCGGCCCCCUCGUAGCGAAGGUGUGCGACUGCCUCCUCCGCCACGGGGCGCUGCAGCUGACGGAGAUUGUGCGCCGUCUCAAGCUCCCGCAGGGGCAAGUGAAGAACUCUCUCCUCGUCCUCAUCCAGCACAACUGCGUUCAGGCCUUCUCAUCGCCCAGAGGCGAUAGGACCAUCACGCUCUACUUGGCCAUCUUCGACAAUGUCCUGCAUCGGCUGCGCUUCUCAAAGUUCAUCUCUAUUAUCCGCGCGGACAUUCCAGAGUCAGAAGCUCUUAUUGAGGGAUUGCUUCAGAAUGGUAGGCUAACAUUUGACCAACUUGUGGGACGCACAAUCUCUAAAGUGCCAGAAGGCACCAUCCGACCAGCAAGGGAAGAAAUACGAAUGAACUUCAACAGACUUGUGUAUGCACGUUAUGUGGAACGUUGCCCAAAAGCUGAACCCUAUUUCAAUCCACAGGAAGAUGAACAAUCUACAGGUGCAAGGAGAAGAGUUCCAAAAACUGCCGAGGAGGUUCUUUCACUUGAGCAGAAAGUUGUCAAUACUGCAACCCUUUCUGAUCCAGAAAGGUUUUCUGAGAUCCCAUACAGCAUGGAGGAUGCAUCAAAAACGAAUGAUUGUCCUCAUAACGCUGUUGCGGGUGCUAAGCGGAAACACGGAGCCUUUGAGGUAGAUGAAGAGCUCAACUCAACAAUUGCAGAGAAUGAAGUACUUUGGCGGGUAAAUUUUGAGAAAUUUAUAUUCUGUCUAAAGAAGAAGUUUUGUGCAGACCGAAAGAAGCCAAAGCUGAAGGUUGGCACACAUCCUAUCUGGGAGUCAUUUUUUGAAGCUAACUUACCUGACAAAGAUACAAACUCUGUGACAUCAUCAAUAAAUGGUAUUUUGGAGAAACUAGGACAAAAGGAAGGAGGUGCGGCAAUGUCAAUUGGUGACAUAAAACCAGUCCUGCUGGAUUUACAGUGUACUACUUCCGAUGGGGAAGAAUUUACUUUUGAUUUACGCAAAAUGGUUGAAGCAUGUAGAAAUGAGGAGAUAGAGUCGCUUGUGAAAAAGAAAUACGGGCAAGAAGCUUUUACAAUCUUUAGGCUAUUGGUCACACAAGGUUGUGCAGUUGAGACAGAUCAAAUUAUUGACACAACAAUUCUGGACAAGCAGAUUGUUCAUUCAACUUUGUACAAACUAUGGAACGACGGCUACAUAGAUACAGAGUUGUGCGAUAACUUCACUGCUUUGAUGGUCUACUACUUUACUAUACAAGAAAAUCGCUUCCGCAGCAGGAACAGGGUACGCACAGUUUUUUGUAUGGAGAGCCAAAAAUACAUUUCGUGAGCAGUUCAUCGAUAAUCUCUACCAUGCUGCUUUGAACUUGCGCCAGAUGGUGAAUUACAUUGCUGAACUUCUACUCGAGGGUUCGAAGGACGAAACAAAGCUGCGGAACAGAAAGAACAUUUUGAUCCUGGCCCUCACUAGACAUGAUGACUCUCUCAUGCUGUUCCAUGAUUUUUGAGAACACAGGUGAGUCUACCGUGAAUGUAGAACGGAAUCCAGGCUGUGAAGUUGGACAACUGAAUUAAUAUAUCUUAGGCUCGUAGCUGAUUUCACCUAUGGGAAAUUCAUUUACGCUGCAUGUUUUGAGAUCUUUGCUAUCGCAUUUUGCCAUUGUUGUGUUUGGAAA
This is an RNA transcript of Triticum dicoccoides, 1830 nucleotides long. It is a transcript of the gene named DNA-directed RNA polymerase III subunit RPC3-like, with no coding region annotated. Lineage: Eukaryota; Viridiplantae; Streptophyta; Magnoliopsida; Poales; Poaceae. The record is from RefSeq and is a predicted model, not a curated record. The transcript has 15 exons.